RNAcentral lists this transfer RNA (73 nucleotides) under Neotoma lepida (desert woodrat). It matches the Rfam family "tRNA". Rfam says of the family: Transfer RNA (tRNA) molecules are approximately 80 nucleotides in length. Their secondary structure includes four short double-helical elements and three loops (D, anti-codon, and T loops). Lineage: Eukaryota; Metazoa; Chordata; Mammalia; Rodentia; Cricetidae. The record is from Rfam by way of RNAcentral.
GGAGAGGUGGCUCAGAGGUUAAGAGCACUGACUGUUCUUCCAGAGGUCCUGAGUUCAAUUCCUAGCAUCUACA